UUUGUUUGGAAAUAGGGUCUUGCUACAUUCCCCAGGCCAGUCUCAAACUCCUGGGCUCAAAGAAUCCUCCUGCCUCAGUCUCCCAAAGUGCUGGGAUCACAAGCGUGAGCCACCACACAAGCAUAACAUAUCUUUUUAAAAAUGAUGCCUAGAGGCAAUUUGAUCAUCCACAGUGUAACAAAAGUAGUGGCAACAACCAAAGAGCCCACGAGUAAUAUGAAAGAACCAUAUACAUAUUAGAGAUUUAACUUUUGAGGAAAAAGCAAGGUGCUACUUCUAUACAGUAGUUCAGAUGAUUCAGCUGUACUAAAAUUGUUAUAGGAGGCAGAAAGAAAUUAUUUAGAUAGACAGUUAGGGUAAAGUGAGUCCCCAGCAGAAAACUUUCCUUUUAAAAAAAGCAGCUCAGCUUCUCCGAGAAAACACCAAAUGGUGGAUGACGCCGGUGCAGCGGGGGGGCCUGGAGGCCCUGGUGGCCCUGGGAUGGGGAACCGCGGUGGCUUCCGCGGAGGUUUCGGCAGUGGCAUCCGGGGCCGCGAGGGGCCACGGAGACAAGGCUGAGGAUAAGGAGUGGAUGCCCGUCACCAAGCUGGGCUGCUUGGUCAAGGACAUGAAGAUCAAGCCCCUAGAGGAGAUCUACCUCUUCUCCCUGCCCAUUAAGGAAUCUGAGAUCAUUGAUUUUUUCUUGGGGGCCUCUCUCAAAGACGAGUUUUUGAAGAUUAUGCCGGUGCAGAAGCAGACCCGUGCUGGCCAGCGCACCAGGUUCAAGGCGUUCGUUGCUAUCGGGGACUAUAAUGGCCAUGUCCGCCUGGGUGUUAAGUGCUCCAAGGAGGUGGCCACUGCCAUUUGUGGGGCCAUCAUCCUGGUCAAACUCUCCAUUGUCCCUGAGCGCAGAGGCUACUGGGGGAACAAGAUUGGCAAGCCCCACACCGUCCCUUGCAAGGUGACAGACCGCUGUGGCUCUGUGCUGGUGCACCUCAUCCCUGCACCCAGGGGCACUGGCAUCGUCUCAGCACCUAUGCCCAAGAAGCUGCUCAUGAUGGCUGGUGUCGAUGACUGCUACACCUCAGCCCGGGGCUGCACUGCCACCCUGGGCAACUUCGCCAAGGCCACCUUCGAUGCCAUCUCUAAGACCUACAGCUACCUGACCCCUGACCUCUGGAAGGAGACUGUGUUUACCAAGUCUCCCUAUCAGGAAUUCACUGACCACCUUGUCAAGACACGCACCAGAGUCUCCGUGCAGCGGACCCAGGCUCCAGCUGUGGCUACAAUAUAGGGUUUUUAUACAAGAAAAAUAAAGUGAAUUAAGCCUG
Macaca mulatta (Rhesus monkey) is the source of this 1310-nucleotide non-coding RNA. The record is from RefSeq and is a predicted model, not a curated record. NCBI's taxonomy places the organism in Eukaryota, Metazoa, Chordata, Mammalia, Primates, Cercopithecidae.